ACUGCAUUCUGGUUGUUAAUAAUGACCAUAUCUGUUGGGUCUGCGGUCGUUAGUGCCGAGAUGGUUAGGGUUGCAGAAUUGGAAGAAAGAUUAAAGAUGCUGUAGGAGAAUGUAGAUGGGAAAAUUAAUAUGCUAAAUGAAAAAGUGGAAGGGAAAUUCAAUAUAUUGGAAGGGAAGUUGGAUAGAGCCUCUGCAGAUAAUGAUGCAUUGAGG
This 213-nucleotide unclassified non-coding RNA is filed under the name Hevea brasiliensis (rubber tree). Lineage: Eukaryota; Viridiplantae; Streptophyta; Magnoliopsida; Malpighiales; Euphorbiaceae. The record is from RNAcentral.